GAUUCUCCUUUUGUCCGCUGUCC
Molecule: small nuclear RNA, 23 nt
Filed under: Arabidopsis thaliana (thale cress)
Lineage: Eukaryota; Viridiplantae; Streptophyta; Magnoliopsida; Brassicales; Brassicaceae
Description: snRNA_10770
Source: RNAcentral